UACGGAGGAUGCAAGCGUUAUCCGGAAUUAUUGGGCGUAAAGCGUCCGUAGGUGGUUAAUCAAGUCUAUUGUCAAAGCCUGGGGCUUAACCCUGGAGAGGCGGUAGAAACUGGUUGACUAGAGUGCGGUAGGGGCAGAGGGAAUUCCCAGUGUAGCGGUGAAAUGCGUAGAUAUUGGGAAGAACACCGGUGGCGAAAGCGCUCUGCUGGGCCUGCACUGACACUGAGGGACGAAAGCUAGGGGAGCGAAAGGG
RNAcentral lists this ribosomal RNA (253 nucleotides) under uncultured cyanobacterium. RNAcentral describes it as "partial 16S ribosomal RNA". It matches the Rfam family "Bacterial small subunit ribosomal RNA", at positions 524 to 776 of the family's 1533-position model. The record is from RNAcentral. Lineage: Bacteria; Bacillati; Cyanobacteriota.